Long non-coding RNA from Protopterus annectens (West African lungfish), 1804 nucleotides. RefSeq lists it as uncharacterized. The record is from RefSeq and is a predicted model, not a curated record. Lineage: Eukaryota; Metazoa; Chordata; Ceratodontiformes; Protopteridae. The transcript has 3 exons.
CUCUUGGUGUCAUGCAACUGGAUGCUGCUUAGUUAGUGUAGGCAGCUAGGAUUCCAGCAAUCUAGACUUCUCCUUUUAGCUCUCAAAGACUUGUAGGUCUGAUCUGGAUUUGUGAACUGUUUAGUGUAUUAGUCCAUUAGAUGUUUUUCCUGUGGCCCAUUUCUUUUGCAGUGAUUGCAAAUGAUUCAUCCAAGUAUUUCUAGUUGGGGUAGUGAGUACUUCAGUACUUUCAUGUCUAUAUCUAGAGAUGAGAACAAUUAUUUUUGAAUUGCAGGUUACAUUUCAUCAACUUUCUAUGGAGUCCAAAACAUUUCAGCAAGGAGGCAGUGAUUUAUUUUUUAUCUUAGCAGAUAAAGGGUGGAGCACUAAACUUUUGGUCAGAGAAGUGAUGCUGUCAUGUGCAUGAGCUUUAUUUAUUUGUCUCUGUCUCACAGCAUUCCACGUUCUGUGUUUUAUUAACUUCCUAGACUUCCUAGCAGACAGCCAGAUCUGAAUAAGGUGUGCUGUCCAUGAUUGAUCAUCAGUAUCUGAGAAUAUUGCCCAACAUUUCUGAUCCUGGAACACUGCAGUCAAACACUUCUGCCUGGAGAGCGCAGGUGUAACUUCUUUCUUUUACUUGAGGAGUCUAGGUCAUUGGAAGCAUUUGAUCUACUGACCUCUCAUAUGCCUUCUCCUCUUAUUUUAAGUCAAAAACAGUUCCUAGAGCAAAGCAGAAGGCUGCUUUCUUAAUUUUGAUUGACCACACAGCCUUGGUUUACAGAUCUUCCUAUAGCCUCUUUCUCAGUCUUGGAAAGUACUCAUCAGCUUCCUGCAGCUUCUAUCAGUGUGAUGUGCUUGUCCCUCAAAUUUGAGUCACUGAGAUUAAGUUUACAUACUCUAGUAGCCUGCAGUUUAUGUCUUUAGAAUUUAGUAACCGGGAUACUAAAAGCAGAGCAGAAGCUUCUGUGAACUUGUGCAGAUUCAUCGACUUUUGCAGAUGACUUUCUGUCCAAAAUGUGUCUUCCAUAUUUUUCUUUCCUGACUGUUGCUUCUCCGAACAGGUUUAAACUACUGUGCUUUUAAAGUGCAGUCUGUAGUUUUCCUCGAGGGAAAGAGUGAUCAGACUGUGUAGCUUCUUUGCUGCUUUUUAAAAAGUUAUUAGGCUGCUUUCUCUCAUGCAUCUGGCUAGGUAUCCCUUUCCAUAGUGAGUCAGAAUUUUUGCUGGAAAAAUAAAACCCUUCUACCUUUCAAGCCAGUGGUAUCUACAGGGCUCAAGUUUGUAUAAUGUUAGGUCCAUUUCUGACAGCAGUUACUUCAUCUUGCAGAAUUUCUUUAACACUGGCUUCGACACCUUCUGAACCUUUAUUUUUUUUUUCCAAACAGAUAGACCUCCUUGUGUACCAGUUCAGACUUUAUUCUGGAGAUCCCUGCCAUGGUCAGGUUUAAUCAAGCUAUUCAUUUCUCAGCCUUUUUCCUGGACACAUCUAAUGCUGAAGAGCAACUCCUGCACACUCAGUGUACAUGAACAAUUACACAGCUAUGUAGAACAAAGCCAUUAAGAAAGGAUCCCCACUUGUUUGUACCGUUUACCAAAUAGAAAAGGGUGAAAGGGUAUGAAGCAAUACUUAGUUAACUGGCUGCAUCUGUUUCUUUCAUGACACACACACUUGGCUUUUAAUCUUUAGACCUAACGGGACAUGCUGUUUUGGCAGAUUUGUUAAUCAGGAAGAUACAUUGGUUUGCAGACCCUUUUCAGGCACAACCCAGGCUAUGUAGGCAUGAACAGAGCAAUGGACACCUAAUGAAAUGUGUCUGAUAUAUCAGA